This 228-nucleotide unclassified non-coding RNA is filed under the name plant metagenome. RNAcentral describes it as "partial contains small subunit ribosomal RNA, internal transcribed spacer 1, and 5.8S ribosomal RNA". The record is from RNAcentral.
UUUCCGUAGGUGAACCUGCGGAAGGAUCAUUACAGUGUUCCCUGCCCUUCGGGGUAGGAUCGCCACCCUUGAUUAUUUAUGAGUGUUGCUUUGGCGGGCCUCGCGGCCUGGCCGCGCCCGGGCUUCGGCGGGGGAGCGCCCGCCAGAGGAUUCUACAAACCUGAUUAUUAGUGUCGUCUGAGUACUAUAUAAUAGUUAAAACCUUCAACAACGGAUCUCUUGGUUCUG